UCUGGUAGCUAUAGCAAAGAGGUCACACCCGUUCCCAUAUCGAACACGGAAGGCCAGAUUUUAUGUUUUGGUCUUUAGCGUCGAUGGUACUGCAAUAAGACUGGUAAUUUGGGAGAGUAGAACGCUGCCAGAU
Molecule: ribosomal RNA, 133 nt
Filed under: Desulfobacula sp.
Lineage: Bacteria; Pseudomonadati; Thermodesulfobacteriota; Desulfobacteria; Desulfobacterales; Desulfobacteraceae
Also listed under: 1 other name
Source: RNAcentral